GGGUGUGCUGACCUCUGUGAUUUCCCCAAAUGUGGGAAACUCAACUGUAGAAUUUGUGGUAGUGGGGGACUGCGUUCGCGCUUUCCCCUG
This 90-nucleotide small nuclear RNA is filed under the name Chelydra serpentina (North American snapping turtle). Its description in RNAcentral is "U1 spliceosomal RNA (ENSCSRG00000012610.1)". It matches the Rfam family "U1 spliceosomal RNA", at positions 75 to 166 of the family's 166-position model. Rfam says of the family: U1 is a small nuclear RNA (snRNA) component of the spliceosome (involved in pre-mRNA splicing). Lineage: Eukaryota; Metazoa; Chordata; Testudines; Chelydridae. The record is from Rfam by way of RNAcentral.